CUCCUUCCGCAGUCCCGCACCCUCUCCCUCCCCGCCCCGAAUCCCACCCCAUGCCUGCCAUCUCCGCCGCCUCACCACCCCAUCUUCCCCCUUCCCCCCAGUCCAAAUGCCGCCUCGCCGAGUCCGAGACAGCCCCUGCGGCCCUGCUCGCCCACCGCUUGCCUACGACGACGGCGAUGCGCAACUCCAUGGUCCGCGCCUCCACGCUCCAGUCGAGGGGCUGCCAAGGCACCGAGAGCCCGCUUCCCAUUGAUCUACUCGUCGCCCGACCUGGCCGUAUCCAUUUUCCAUUCGUCCAAUAGAUUUUCCGUCCGUACCUAAGGAUGCCUUCCGCGGGAGGGUGGCCAAGCUCUGCGAUGCCGGCCUUGGAUGCUGGCUUGCACCUGCAUUUGAGGAUGGAGCCAAGGUACUCAAGUGGCUCACCAUGCAGGGGAAUCUUGCCAUGAUGACCAAGGUCAGGUCAGGGGUGAUGUGGGCACGUUUGCUACACUUCGUUUUACGGGUAGGUAAAAUUACUGAUGCUUCUUUUUACUAAAGUUACUAAUCCAUCUUGGUGCUGAAGUUUACUGAUGAGUGCUGUUGAAAUCAUUGGUUGUGCAUAUGAUGGAAAAUAGAUAAUCUGCAAUACAGAUGCAGAUAAGCUUUUAGCAGUUACACAUUGCUCAUUUCUCUGCCUACUCUAAUAUACAAUUGUUACCACAGGUGAUUUGAGAUGGACUGGACUCCUCAUAUGAUGAUGAAUUUUGAUCCAGCUUAAUUCAUUUUAAUUGACUCCUCAUCAUUUUAUGAGCAGGAAGUUUAUCAAGUUACCUAUAUCCAGAGUUCACAUUUUCUUAACAAUAUUGCCUCCAUGCGUGCACAAUAAAAUGAAAACAGUUAGUGUGUACUCAUUUCGUGAGAUUAGCUCUGUCAUCAUUUUGGCAUUUUUGAGGAUUGAAUUUGCCUUCUUUCCCUUGUCUUUCUUUUGUGCAGAAUUUGGAAUAAUGGAGAAGAAGAAAUAAGUUACCACGAGGAUGACAGAUUUCUGCAACCACUGAGCCCACGAGAAUGAUUUAGUUUUGGUGCUAAGUAAGGUAUAUUGGGGCGGAAUUUUUUCUUAGGUGGAUGAGGAGAUGAAGGUCAGGCAGAUGAGGAAGGAGCACGUGCCAAGAGCACAUCUUAUGCUAGAUUGUGCGUAAAAGGUCGCAGGUAUGGAGUCCUCUUGUCUCCUCUUUUAAUCUGAUUUGUUUUGCAUGAUCAGUUAUAUAACAGUUAUAGCUACCUAUUAUGAACAUAUACCAUAUUACUAUGAUCAAUUCGAGACAUGCAGCUGUUAUUUUGAAAAUCCAAAUUAUUUUAGCUGAAAAAUCUGCUUUGAAGUGCAGAGCCAAUGAAGCCUUUGACAAUUCCUAGGGAGCCAAGACUCACCCUGGGAGCCGGGCAUGGAUAUAUCAGUUCAGAUUUAAUUACUUUUAUUUGCCAUAUUGAUAAACUACAACUCUAGAUGGAUGAUUACUAAAGCCAGGGAAAUAACAUGAUACAAAUUUAACUUAUGUAUUCGUUUCACAUGUAAAGCUAUCCAAAGAAGUUAUGCAGUAUGGAUCAGCCGCGUGCAAGUAAAGAGGAGUCCAUAACAUUUGGUACUCAUAAUUUGACUAAGCCUGACUAUUUAUGUUUUAUUUUCUGUUUACUUCUGCAGCAAAUAGCCACAUCACAUCUGAAUAUUAUGGACAUCGUAAUGUGUAAAAGAAGAGUUUUCAGCUUGACUACUGGAAAGAAGCUUCUUCCUGUGUCACUUUUGUACAAAAUGCAAAUAUGGGAUUUGCUAAAACAUACUUGAAAGGGGUAUUGGUGGCUGUUAUAUUGCAGUCGAGAUACAGGUGAGGCCAAGCUGCACUCUAAUCUAACGCAGACCAAGCUGUACUCUAAUCCAACGCAGACCAAGCUGUACACUUAACAUAGUCGAGGCCAAGGUCUUACAUAUCGUUACCCCUGGUCAUCCCCUCUCAGUGAGUGAUCGAUUGGUGCCAUGAGUAAGAAAUAACCAAGUGAUCUCCCCUAAUCCCCACCCCUCUUUCGAUUUGGUAGAUACUUGAUGCAAAUCUCAUCAUGAGAUUUGUUGGUAGAUAUUAUUUCCAUGUAAUAAUCUUGUCCCUUUUGCUUUUCUUAUUAUUGAUCAGGACAAAGCAUGUGGCUUUCCAUGUGUUUCCUGACAAUGUCUCAUAAAAAAAUGACUUCUCAGUUCUCAUUGUUAUUUCAGAUAGGCCUCACUCAGGAUAUGGUGCUACCAUUAAUGGUCAAGAUAAGAUGGAAAGGAUUGAUUAGGCAGCUUAUAUCUUUCUGGAUAGGGUAUGCGACAAGGCUGGUGAUUGGUGACUCCAUUGUUCUUGCAAUGUUGCUGAUGAGCCAUUUCAACUACAUACAUACUAAGAAAGCAGAGGAAGAUGAUGCGGUCAUUGAGUUUGUUGUCUACGUGAAAUCAUGUGAUGUGGUCAUUAGCAUGUUGUAUAUCCAAAUUGUUGUUUGGAGUAAUCAUCUUUGUCGCAGUCUGAUAAUAUUAUGUAUUUAUCUAUACACGUGCAAUUGCACAUGAAUCUUAAUUCUGUUUCAUUCUUUUCUUGGGACCUAAUGGCAUGCCCAAUGGAAAUUUCA
Setaria italica (foxtail millet) is the source of this 2631-nucleotide long non-coding RNA. RefSeq lists it as uncharacterized. NCBI's taxonomy places the organism in Eukaryota, Viridiplantae, Streptophyta, Magnoliopsida, Poales, Poaceae. The record is from RefSeq and is a predicted model, not a curated record. The transcript is spliced from 5 exons.